GUGGGGAAUAUUGGACAAUGGGCGAAAGCCUGAUCCAGCCAUGCCGCGUGUGUGAAGAAGGUCUUCGGAUUGUAAAGCACUUUAAGUUGGGAGGAAGGGUAGUAACCUAAUACGUUGCUACUUUGACGUUACCGACAGAAUAAGCACCGGCUAACUUCGUGCCAGCAGCCGCGGUAAUACGAAGGGUGCAAGCGUUAAUCGGAAUUACUGGGCGUAAAGCGCGCGUAGGUGGUUCAGUAAGUUGGAAGUGAAAUCCCCGGGCUCAACCUGGGAACUGCUUUCAAAACUGCUGAGCUAGAGUAAGGUAGAGGGUGGUGGAAUUUCCUGUGUAGCGGUGAAAUGCGUAGAUAUAGGAAGGAACACCAGUGGCGAAGGCGACCACCUGGACUGAUACUGACACUGAGGUGCGAAAGCGUGGGGAGCAAACAGGAUUAGAUACCCGUGUAGUCC
This 450-nucleotide ribosomal RNA is filed under the name uncultured bacterium. RNAcentral describes it as "partial 16S ribosomal RNA". It matches the Rfam family "Bacterial small subunit ribosomal RNA", at positions 354 to 796 of the family's 1533-position model. The record is from RNAcentral.